RNAcentral lists this ribosomal RNA (382 nucleotides) under uncultured eukaryote. RNAcentral's name for it is "partial 18S ribosomal RNA". It matches the Rfam family "Eukaryotic small subunit ribosomal RNA", at positions 592 to 976 of the family's 1831-position model. The record is from RNAcentral.
CAAUAGCGUAUAUUAAUGCUGUUGCGGUUAAAAAGCUCGUAGUUGGAUUUUGGAGCUCGAACUCUUGGUCCGGUGUAAACCGCGUACCGAUGGUUGGGUUCUUCUGUCUGGAGGCUGGGCGCUACCACUUGAUUGUGGGGCGAACAGUGUCUAGGACUUUUACUUUGAACAAAUUAGAGUGUUUAAAGCAGGCUCACGCCUUGAAUACAUUAGCAUGGAAUAACCACUUAGGACUUUGGUCCUAUUUUGUUGGUUUUAAGGACUAAAGUAAUGAUUAAUAGGGACGAUUGGGGCCAUUAGUAUUUGACAGCCAGAGGUGAAAUUCUUAGACUUGUCAAAGACUAACCGCUGCGAAAGCGUUUGGCAAGUGCGUUUUCAUUAA